RNAcentral lists this non-coding RNA (27 nucleotides) under Rattus norvegicus (Norway rat). Lineage: Eukaryota; Metazoa; Chordata; Mammalia; Rodentia; Muridae. The record is from RNAcentral.
UGUUUUGCUGCCUUGAUGGGAGGGAAC